This 461-nucleotide ribosomal RNA is filed under the name uncultured Methylomirabilota bacterium. RNAcentral describes it as "bacterial SSU rRNA". It matches the Rfam family "Bacterial small subunit ribosomal RNA", at positions 977 to 1435 of the family's 1533-position model. Lineage: Bacteria; Methylomirabilota (SeqCode). The record is from RNAcentral.
GGGCUUGACAUCCCACGAACCUGUCUGAAAGGGCGGAGUGCCCGCAAGGGAGCGUGGAGACAGGUGGUGCAUGGCUGUCGUCAGCUCGUGUCGUGAGAUGUUGGGUUAAGUCCCGCAACGAGCGCAACCCUCACCCCUAGUUGCCACCGGGUAAUGCCGAGCACUCGAGGGGAACUGCCAGCGUCAAGCUGGAGGAAGGCGGGGAUGACGUCAAGUCAUCAUGCCCCUUACGCCCUGGGCUACACACGUGCUACAAUGGCCAGUACAAAGGGAUGCGAGACCGCAAGGUGGAGCUAAUCCCAAAAAGCUGGUCUAAGUUCAGAUUGCAGUCUGCAACUCGACUGCAUGAGGGAGGAAUCGCUAGUAAUCGCGCAUCAGCACGGCGCGGUGAAUACGUUCCCGGGCCUUGUACACACCGCCCGUCACACCACGAAAGUUGGCUGUACUCGAAGUCGCUGAGA